GUUUAAGCGUGUAGGGGUGACCUGGUAAAUCGGUUACAUACUAACCCUGAGGCGUGAUGACGAUGCACUACGGUGCAGAAGUAGUUGAUGCCCUGCUUCCAGGAAAAGCCUCUAAGCUCUAGGUAACAUUGAAUCGUACCCCAAACCGACACAGGUGGUCAGGUAGAGAAUACCAAGGCGCUUGAGAGAACUCGGGUGAAGGAACUAGGCAAAAUGGUGCCGUAACUUCGGGAGAAGGCACGCUGGCAUGUAGGUGAAGUCCCUUGCGGAUGGAGCUGAAGCCAGUCGAAGAUACCAGCUGGCUGCAACUGUUUAAUAAAACACAGCACUGUGCAAACACGAAAGUGGACGUAUACGGUGUGACGCCUGCCCGGUGCUGGAAGGUUAAUUGAUGGGGUCAGCCGCAAGGCGAAGCUCUUGAUCGAAGCCCCAGUAAACGGCGGCCGUAACUAUAACGGUCCUAAGGUAGCGAAAUUCCUUGUCGGGUAAGUUCCGACCUGCACGAAUGGCGUAAUGAUGGCCAGGCUGUCUCCACCCGAGACUCAGUGAAAUUGAACUCGCUGUGAAGAUGCAGUGUACCCGCGGCAAGACGGAAAGACCCCGUGAACCUUUACUAUAGCUUGACACUGAACAUUGAGCCUUGAUGUGUAGGAUAGGUGGGAGGCUUUGAAGCGUGGACGCCAGUCUGCGUGGAGCCAUCCUUGAAAUACCACCCUUUAAUGUUUGAUGUUCUAACUCGGCCCCAUAAUCUGGGGUGAGGACAGUGUCUGGUGGGUAGUUUGACUGGGGCGGUCUCCUCCCAAAGAGUAACGGAGGAGCACGAAGGUUAGCUAAUCACGGUCGGACAUCGUGAGGUUAGUGCAAAGGCAUAAGCUAGCUUGACUGCGAGUGACGGCUCGAGCAGGUACGAAAGUAGGUCUUAGUGAUCCGGUGGUUCUGAAUGGAAGGGCCAUCGCUCAACGGAUAAAAGGUACUCCGGGGAUAACAGGCUGAUACCGCCCAAGAGUUCAUAUCGACGGCGGUGUUUGGCACCUCGAUGUCGGCUCAUCACAUCCUGGGGCUGAAGUAGGUCCCAAGGGUAUGGCUGUUCGCCAUUUAAAGUGGUACGCGAGCUGGGUUUAGAACGUCGUGAGACAGUUCGGUCCCUAUCUGCCGUGGGCGUUGGAAGAUUGAGAGGGGUUGCUCCUAGUACGAGAGGACCGGAGUGAACGCACCACUGGUGUUCGGGUUGUCAUGCCAAUGGCAUUGCCCGGUAGCUAAGUGCGGAAAAGAUAAGCGCUGAAAGCAUCUAAGCGCGAAACUUGCCUCAAGAUGAGUCUUCCCUGGGCCUUUAAGGCCCCUGAAGGAACGUUUAAGACUAAGACGUUGAUAGGCUGGGUGUGUAAGUGCAGCGAUGCAUUGAGCUAACCAGUACUAAUGAUCCGUGAGGCUUAACCUUACAACACCGAAGGUGUUUUAG
RNAcentral lists this ribosomal RNA (1459 nucleotides) under Serratia marcescens. RNAcentral describes it as "bacterial LSU rRNA". It matches the Rfam family "Bacterial large subunit ribosomal RNA", at positions 1510 to 2925 of the family's 2925-position model. Lineage: Bacteria; Pseudomonadati; Pseudomonadota; Gammaproteobacteria; Enterobacterales; Yersiniaceae. The record is from RNAcentral.